CGGCGCAAGGGAGAGUAACGCGUGGAUAUCUGCCCUCGGCUCCAGAAUAGCUACGGGAAACUGUAGGUAAUGCUGGAUAAUAUCUCCGGAUCAAAGGUGUGAUUCCGGCCGAGGAUGAGUCCGCGUCCUAUUAGAUUGUUGGUGGGGUAAUGGCCUACCAAGUCGAAGAUGGGUACCGGGUGUGAGAGCAUGGCCCGGCUCACUGGGACUGAGACACUGCCCAGACGUCUACGGACGGCUGCAGUCGAGAAUCUUCCGCAAUGGGCGCAAGCCUGACGGAGCGACGCCGCGUGCGGGAUGAAGGCCUUCGGGUUGUAAACCGCUGUCAGUUGGGAGGAAAUGCUUUGGGGUUCUCUCCAUAGUUUGACCGAUCUUCAGAGGAAGUACGGGCUAAGUACGUGCCAGCAGCCGCGGUAACACGUACCGUACGAACGUUAUUCGGAAUCACUGGGCUUAAAGAGUCCGUAGGCGGCUAUGUAGGUCAGGUGUGAAAUCCCACGGCUCAACCGUGGAACUGCGCUUGAAACCAUAUGGUUAGAGGGAGAUAGAGGAAAGCGGAACUGAUGGUGGAGCGGUGAAAUGCGUUGAUAUCAUCAGGAACACCGGUGGCGAAAGCGGCUUUCUGGGUCUCUUCUGACGCUGAGGGACGAAAGCUAGGGGAGCGAACGGGAUUAGAUACCCCGGUAGUCCUAGCUGUAAACGAUGAGCACUAG
This 713-nucleotide ribosomal RNA is filed under the name uncultured Planctomycetota bacterium. RNAcentral describes it as "bacterial SSU rRNA". It matches the Rfam family "Bacterial small subunit ribosomal RNA", at positions 96 to 819 of the family's 1533-position model. Lineage: Bacteria; Pseudomonadati; Planctomycetota. The record is from RNAcentral.